RNAcentral lists this ribosomal RNA (252 nucleotides) under uncultured bacterium. RNAcentral's name for it is "partial 16S ribosomal RNA". It matches the Rfam family "Bacterial small subunit ribosomal RNA", at positions 524 to 776 of the family's 1533-position model. The record is from RNAcentral.
UACGGAGGGUGCAAACGUUGCUCGGAAUUAUUGGGCGUAAAGCGCACGUAGGCGGUUUCGUAAGUCGGAUGUGAAAGCCCAGGGCUCAACCCUGGAAGUGCAUUCGAAACUGCGGAGCUUGAGUAUGGAAGAGGGUCGCGGAAUUCCCGGUGUAGAGGUGAAAUUCGUAGAUAUCGGGAGGAACACCAGUGGCGAAGGGGCGACCUGGGCCAAUACUGACGCUGAGGUGCGAAAGCGUGGGGAGCAAACAGG